Molecule: long non-coding RNA, 825 nt
Filed under: Cyanistes caeruleus (blue tit)
Lineage: Eukaryota; Metazoa; Chordata; Aves; Passeriformes; Paridae
Description: lncRNA (ENSCCEG00000018580.1)
Source: RNAcentral
GGGCAGUGGUGGAAUCAAAAACUGUCUGAAUGUGGCACUUGGGGACAUGGGUUAGUGGUGGCCUUGGCAGUGCUGGGUUAUUGUUGGACUUGAUGAUCUUAGAGUGCUUUUCCAACUUAAACAAUUCUAUGCUUCUGUGAUCCUAUUCCAUUUUGUCUGCUUUGUUUAUUUGCUCAUGUUCUCCCUGAAGUGUUUUCCAGAGGAUUCCAAGGGCUGAGGUGGGCUCAGGAGCUGCACUGGAUUCAUGUAAGGGAGACUGGAACAUGUCCUGUGGUCUUGAAGUUUUAGGGAUACAUCAAUAAAGAAAGAUAGCAACAAUUUAUCAUGUGUUUCCCUGGUAACUACAACAUCGUGAACCUUCCUUGAAAACUCCAUUGGGAUUCCUGCAAUGUUUGUGAGCAUAAUGAAUGAAGCUAUUAUCUAUCUCCAAUGUCACAUGUGAAUGUUCCCUGUGGCUGCAAGAGGAGAGGAGACAUUUCUGGCUAAUUCUGAGGCUGCCUAGAGUUGUGACAAGUGUUUUCUGAGGUUCAGCCUUACCCAGAGAUGCAAGUGGUGCUAUCUCCUCUUUCUAAACAUGUUUCUGGUAAAGAACUUAAAACCUAAGACCAAAAUCUGCCUUCUGUCUUCUGGAGACUGACUGAGUUAUGGAUUUAGAAAUAGUCUAAAUAGUCUAAUAGAGUCUAAAUAGGUUAAGAUUUGUGAGCUUCAGAAUAACACAUCCCAGUGUAUUGAUUUAUUUUAUUUUGUACAGAGGGCAUUUUGUACCUGUUUGUUUUGGCUGUGGUGGCAGCCCUGUCCACAGCUAGUGUUGGAAAUGGGGUUAGU